Molecule: ribosomal RNA, 301 nt
Filed under: uncultured bacterium
Lineage: Bacteria
Description: partial 16S ribosomal RNA
Rfam family: Bacterial small subunit ribosomal RNA
Source: RNAcentral
CAGCCGCCACGGUAAUACGGAGGGUGCAGGCGUUAAUCGGAAUUACUGGGCGUAAAGCGUGCGUAGGCGGUUUGUCAAGUCUGUUGUGAAAUCCCCGGGCUCAACCUGGGAAUGGCAGUGGAUACUGGCUCGCUAGAGUGUGUCAGAGGAUGGUGGAAUUCCCGGUGUAGCGGUGAAAUGCGUAGAGAUCGGGAGGAACAUCUGUGGCGAAGGCGGCCAUCUGGGACAACACUGACGCUGAGGCACGAAAGCGUGGGGAGCAAACAGGAUUAGAUACCCCCGUAGUCCCUGUCUCUUAUAC